RNAcentral lists this long non-coding RNA (554 nucleotides) under Homo sapiens (human). Its description in RNAcentral is "long non-coding RNA NONHSAT257506". Lineage: Eukaryota; Metazoa; Chordata; Mammalia; Primates; Hominidae. The record is from RNAcentral.
CUGCUGUUCUGCAUGACUCAGUGGUUUUCGGAGAGGGCCCUGUUGGGCUUUAUUGAGUGAGGCCUUUGCUUAGAGGGGGAUGGGGUAUCAGUGGGACCCGAACUUGUUCCAAAAUCCAUUGGAACAUGGGGCCGGGGGUUCUCGGCGUCGUCUUUUGGGCUUCUCGACGUCGCUGCGUUUUUAUCCUGAGAUCCGUUUUCAUGGAGGAAAUGGAACACCUCCUUUGUUUGGUGCAUUUAGGCUGAUGAAUGUGAAAUUUUUUGCUCGCUUUCCACGCACUCCGUGGAGGUGUGUUUUCGGGGAAGGGUCGGAUUAUCUUUAUUGAUUGAGUGUCUCCUAAGGGAUAGCAUCUAAGGAGAUACCAAGAUAAAGGAACAUAUAGGUCACACAUCCCCGUUCUUAAACCUGGGAUUUAGAUACAGACUUCUAAAAACAUAAACGAAUGUAUUUUAUUCCUUAUUUUUAGGAUUUUUUUUAAAGAGUAGGCUUUCAGAACUCAGUUGGUGAAAAUACUGCAAUUUUAUCUUUGAAGUUUUUUGUUAAAAUGUUUCCCC